Molecule: ribosomal RNA, 320 nt
Filed under: Lasiodiplodia sp. BAB-3542
Lineage: Eukaryota; Fungi; Ascomycota; Dothideomycetes; Botryosphaeriales; Botryosphaeriaceae
Description: eukaryotic LSU rRNA
Rfam family: 5.8S ribosomal RNA (bases 1-99)
Source: RNAcentral
CGAUACUUGGUGUGAAUUGCAGAAUUCAGUGAAUCAUCGAAUCUUUGAACGCACAUUGCGCCCCUUGGUAUUCCGGGGGGCAUGCCUGUUCGAGCGUCAUUACAACCCUCAAGCUCUGCUUGGAAUUGGGCACCGUCCUCACUGCGGACGCGCCUCAAAGACCUCGGCGGUGGCUGUUCAGCCCUCAAGCGUAGUAGAAUACACCUCGCUUUGGAGCGGUUGGCGUCGCCCGCCGGACGAACCUUCUGAACUUUUCUCAAGGUUGACCUCGGAUCAGGUAGGGAUACCCGCUGAACUUAAGCAUAUCAAUAAGCGGAGGA